CUACGGGUCGCUGCAGUCGAGAAUCUUCCACAAUGGACGAAAGUCUGAUGGAGCGACACCGCGUGAUCGAAGAAGCCCUGAGGGGUGUAAAGAUCUUUUCUAUGGGAAGAAGUUAUUGACGGUACCUUAGGAAUAAGGGGGUGCUAAUCACGUGCCAGCAGCAGCGGUAAUACGUGACCCUCGAGCGUUAUCCGGAUUAAUUGGGCGUAAAGCGUCUGUAGGCGGUUUAGAAAGUUUUUGGUUAAAGUCUAAGAGCUCAACUUUUAGAAUGCCAAGAAAACUUCUAGACUAGAGGGCAUUAGAGGUUAGCGGAACGGUUAGUGGAGGGGUGAAAUCCGUUGAUAUUAACCGGAACACCGAAAGCGAAGGCAGCUAACUGGGAUGACCCUGACGCUGAGAGACGAAAGUGUGGGGAUCGAAGAGGAUUAGAUACCCCAGUAGUC
RNAcentral lists this ribosomal RNA (443 nucleotides) under uncultured bacterium. RNAcentral describes it as "partial 16S ribosomal RNA". It matches the Rfam family "Bacterial small subunit ribosomal RNA", at positions 339 to 795 of the family's 1533-position model. The record is from RNAcentral.